CCUACGGGUGGCUGCAGUGGGGAAUAUUGCACAAUGGGCGCAAGCCUGAUGCAGCCAUGCCGCGUGUGUGAAGAAGGCCUUCGGGUUGUAAAGCACUUUCAGCGGGGAGGAAGGCGGUGAGGUUAAUAACCUCAUCGAUUGACGUUACCCGCAGAAGAAGCACCGGCUAACUCCGUGCCAGCAGCCGCGGUAAUACGGAGGGUGCAAGCGUUAAUCGGAAUUACUGGGCGUAAAGCGCACACAGGCGGUCUGUAAAGUCGGAUGUGAAAUCCCCGGGCUCAACCUGGGAACUGCAUUCGAAACUGGCAGGCUAGAGUCUUGUAGAGGGGGGUAGAAUUCCAGGUGUAGCGGUGAAAUGCGUAGAGAUCUGGAGGAAUACCGGUGGCGAAGGCGGCCCCCUGGACAAAGACUGACGCUCAGGUGCGAAAGCGUGGGGAGCAAACAGGAUUAGAUACCCCAGUAGUC
RNAcentral lists this ribosomal RNA (465 nucleotides) under uncultured Klebsiella sp. Its description in RNAcentral is "bacterial SSU rRNA". It matches the Rfam family "Bacterial small subunit ribosomal RNA", at positions 338 to 795 of the family's 1533-position model. Lineage: Bacteria; Pseudomonadati; Pseudomonadota; Gammaproteobacteria; Enterobacterales; Enterobacteriaceae. The record is from RNAcentral.